Non-coding RNA from Microcebus murinus (gray mouse lemur), 69 nucleotides. NCBI's taxonomy places the organism in Eukaryota, Metazoa, Chordata, Mammalia, Primates, Cheirogaleidae. The record is from Ensembl.
AAGAUAUUAGUAAAAUUAUUACAUAACUUUGUCAAAGUUAAUUUAUAGGUUAAAUCCCUAUAUAUCUUU